AAGAUCAUUAAAGAAGUAAUGCCAAAAGAAGGUGGUUUACAAGAUGGAGAGGAGUGAGUUGGCAAGUCCUUUUUUAAAAGAUGAGGAGGAUCAGAGUUGGCAACAGACAGCCUAUCCACAUGCUUUUCUUAACAUCUAAGGCUUACUUUGUGCUCCACCAUAUACUAAGAUUCCAUCAACAUCCUUCUCAUCAAGCCUCUCCAUCAGAGCUCUCAUCAGACAUCUCCAGGAGAGGUCUUUUUUCGUUUUUGACUCGAAGGAAGAUUUGAAAGAAUGGCUAGUGAAGCUCCGAGCUGGGCUGAUCAAUGGGGAGCCGGCGGUUUUGGGGCUAUAGACGACGACGGCGCCAACAAAGACGAAGGGAGCAAUCAGAAGAAGGCCGAGUCCAAGGGCGCAUUUACCAAGGCAAAAGUGGCAGCCACAGCCGGAGCACAGAAGAUCAAGAACGGGACAUCAAUGGCAUCAAAUGGAUCAAGAAUCAAUGUCAGAAAAAAGGCUCCUCUAAAUGAAGAACAAGAUGGUUGUUUCCACAUCAAUGAAGAGUGCAAAAACCAUUUGUCUUUCAGUAUAUAGCAGUUGCAUCAGCUUUAUAUCCUCUUGUAUGGUUUUUUUCAAUUUUCACUGUACUUGCAGCAUAUUCAUUGGUUGUAACAUAUGAUCUGUCUUUAAAGGAAACAGACCAGUCCAGUUAUCAUCAGUCCAAGACCUCUCUCUGUUUUUUUAAUUUUCACUGUACUUGCAGCAGCUUCAUUGGUUGUAACAUAUGGUUUGUCUUUAAAGGAAAUAGACCAGUCCAGUUUUCAUCA
This is an RNA transcript of Eucalyptus grandis, 806 nucleotides long. RefSeq lists it as hypothetical. The transcript has 2 exons. The record is from RefSeq and is a predicted model, not a curated record. Lineage: Eukaryota; Viridiplantae; Streptophyta; Magnoliopsida; Myrtales; Myrtaceae.